This 1332-nucleotide long non-coding RNA is filed under the name Sorghum bicolor (sorghum). RNAcentral's name for it is "long non-coding RNA (SBIC_LNC011725)". Lineage: Eukaryota; Viridiplantae; Streptophyta; Magnoliopsida; Poales; Poaceae. The record is from RNAcentral.
GAAAGUUUCAUAUAUGAAAAUAACAAAUAUAUGUAGAAGACAAAUUCCAAGGAACUAUGUCCUCUUGCUUACAUGCAUCUAAAAUUUGUUAAGAGUUUGAAUAUCAAAUUUUGUGAUAAUGUCUAUCUACGAAGAACUAUAGGAUGUGGAUAGUUCUGAUUUUUUUUUUUUUGAAAACCCCUAAGUAUGUUUUCCUAAAAGAUUUUUCACAAUUUCAUCGAGUAGCUAGAUGUUUUUGCAUUGAAUAUUUUAGCCAUCUAUGGAUACACUAUACAUGAGUAAAGUUUAUUUUUUUUGGAAAUUUAUUUCUUCUUGCCAAGUUGUUGAGAACUAGACCGAUAUAUAAUAGUUGUCACCAUUAUGAUGAAGAAAACCAAGAAAAUUGCUUUAGUUUUUUUUUUCUCUCCAUGCACUUUUGUAGGGAUUCACACGGUUCAAGCGAGCAUAUGAUGUUGUUUCUCUGUUGACGAGUACGUGGCCCACGGGUAUCAUCCUCACAGAAGCCAUAACCAGCAAGACAAAAAGAUGGGCCAGGUCAACUAGCUAGGAGGAUUCCACCAAGGGUACCUCGUCUACAUAAGAAUAUAAUUAAGUCAAAUAUAUAUGGUUGUAACCGAAUAUGGAACAAUUAUUUAUAAACCGAGAUUAGGAUUUGUAACCUUACGCCAGGCCAUAUAAGGCACGUAGGGAGUUCCCUGAUCGGUAUGCAUGCACCAAAUAGAUAAUGAUAGUGAUCGUGGCACUCAAGAUGCUCAAGCAAUACAUCCAUCAUCAUAGACUGGAUGUAGGACAUCCCAGCCAAAACUACUUCUGAUUUGUUAGGCAUGAUAUGCGAAGCCUUUAGGCAAUAUAUUCAUUGUAACUUGGUAGUGUUUGGGCAUGAUAUGCCAACCUUCUGUCCGGAAUGAUGUAUGUCUGGACUGAAACUUGCUAGUGUUUAGUGGCUCUGCCAGUGCUAGACAAUAGACGGUAUGGUUUUUACUGAUCGUCUCUACAAAACUUAUUUGUAGAUGAGGCGGUAUGUCAACAGCUUAGAAGUGUCAACAGCUUAUUAGAAGUGGAUGGUGAGGUACGUCGCCGGUCGUUUUUCUAAUAUUUAUUUGACGACGGGUGAGGGAGGGUGGAUUUUUCUAUAAUCUACACGGUGCUUGAGGCCCUUGGAACACUGGAAUUCUUUCCGUGAGAGAGUAUCUAUCUAUAUUAUUGCUGCCGCAAAAUUAAAGUACGUGUGACGACGACACACACAUAUCUGCCCAUGCAUGGGCGGGUCGGCACAAAUGGAGCGGCUCGGAAAAAGACGACGUGCCAGCAGGGCUCGUCAGCUACUAUACG